RNAcentral lists this ribosomal RNA (508 nucleotides) under uncultured bacterium. RNAcentral's name for it is "partial 16S ribosomal RNA". It matches the Rfam family "Bacterial small subunit ribosomal RNA", at positions 36 to 538 of the family's 1533-position model. The record is from RNAcentral.
GAUGAACGCUGGCGGCGUGCUUAACACAUGCAAGUCGAACGAUGAAGCCCAGCUUGCUGGGUGGAUUAGUGGCGAACGGGUGAGUAACACGUGAGCAACCUGCCCCUGACUCUGGGAUAAGCGCUGGAAACGGCGUCUAAUACUGGAUAUGUCCCGUCACCGCAUGGUGUGCGGGUGGAAAGAUUUUUCGGUUGGGGAUGGGCUCGCGGCCUAUCAGCUUGUUGGUGAGGUAAUGGCUCACCAAGGCGUCGACGGGUAGCCGGCCUGAGAGGGUGACCGGGGAGAGGCAGAGCACGAGACGGCACAGGCACGGAGGGGGGGCAGGGGUGGGGACAGUAGCAGGAGGGGCGGAGGGCGGAUGCCGGAACGCGGCGGGGGGGAAGCUGGGCUUCGGGUUGAAGUCCUCUGAGGGGAGAGAAGAGAAAAGAGGAACGAUACCAGCAAAAAAAGCACCGGCUAACGAGGAGCCAGCGACGGCGGAAAUACUGGGAAGAGACCCCGUCUGUAC